AGUGACUCCGGGAGUGGAGCCGGCGAGCCUGCGGCUGCAGGGGCUGAUGGAAGUGGAGUGGGGGCUUGAGAGGGCACCUACCGUAUCCAGCAUGCUCCAAGGCCACAGCCCUGUGUCCCAGGCCUUGCUGGGGACCUUCUUCACCUGGGGGAUGACCGCAGCUGGGGCGGCCCUCGUGUUCAUAUUCUCUAGCGGACAGAGGCAGAUCUUAGAUGGAAGCCUUGGCUUUGCUGCAGGGGUCAUGUUGGCGGCUUCCUACUGGUCCCUCCUGGCCCCAGCGGUGGAGAUGGCCACGUCCUCUGGCGGCUUUGGCGCCUUGGCCUUCUUCCCCGUGGCUGUCGGCUUCACCCUCGGCGCUGCUUUUGUCUACUUGGCAGACCUCCUGAUGCCUCACCUGGGUGCAGCCGAGGACCCCCAGACGGCCCUGGCACUGAACUUCGACCCUGCGUUGAUGAAGAAGAAAUCUGAUGCCGAGGGUCCCAGGCCGCUCUUCCCCGAGAGUGAACUUUCCAUCCGGAUAGGUAGAGCUGGGCUUCCUUCAGACAAGAGUGAGAAUGGCGAGGCGUAUCAGAGGAAGAAGGCGGUGGCCAGCGACCUCCCCGAGGGCCCCGCAGCUCCCAUGUCCUCUCGAGGAAACCCCACGCAGCCUAGCAGCAGCAGCUGGAGGAGAAUCGCGCUGCUCAUCUUGGCCAUCACCGUCCACAACGUCCCAGAGGGUCUUGCUGUCGGAGUUGGAUUUGGGGCUGUAGAAAAGACGGCGUCUGCCACCUUCGAGAGCGCCAGCCCCACAGGUCUAAGACUGGUGUUGGCAAGGAGGAGGUCGGCUCAGCUCAUACCUGAGAGAGGUACUCCAUCAAAGAAGCAGGUUUACGCCAUUUUCCAAUGAACCAUCUAGUGAGUGAAAACAAACGUCUUGAAAACAAAACAUGCUUAUAAUUCCACACUGUUCUCCAAACCCUUUAAAUGCAUAUAUACGUUAUAAAGACAGUAUUCUGGGGGGAUUGGUUCCAGGACCCGCCGGUGGACACCAAAAUCCGCAGAUGCUAAAGUGUGUCCGUCAGCCGUCAGUAUCCACUGAUUCCCUGUCUGCAGGUCCCGCAUCCCCGAAUUCAACCAAUGGCGGAUCGCAGGAUCCAGGAGGGCCAACUGUAUCAUGAAGGCAACAGUUGACGGUCCUAACUGCUCCCUCCUUUUCGAAGCCCUCACUUUCUCUUUCUUGCCACUGGCCCCUCCUCUUUCCUCCUUCUGCUUCUUUCCAGGCCCCUUUUGAAACGUUGAUGUUCCCCAACCGUCUCUGAGGCAUCCUUUCUUCUCACUUAACGCACUCUCCUGGGGGAUUCCUCCCCUUUCCCAUGGCUUUAUUUUCCAUCUGCUUACUUGUGAUGCACAAGUUGAUCUUCAACCCAGGUGUUUCUCCCGAACCUAUUCUUAUGAGUCCGGCCACCUUCCAGAUGUCUCCAACUGAGAUGUUUCACAGGGUCCCCACACUCAGCAUUUCCCAAGUUGAGCUGAUCGCCUCCAUGUGCAAUCAUGCAAAACCCGCCCCUUCCCCAGCGUUCCCCAUCACCGCCAUGGACCCGGUUGACCAAGCCAAACUCAUCGCUACCCUCGAUGUCUCAUCUUCCCCGGGCAAUCACCAGGCCUUGUGAAUUCUUCCUCUCCUCUGCCUCCCCUGAAUCGUAGGGUCAGAUAAGGCUACAGCCUUGGGAUCACAAAGAGGCACCCCGGAGAUGAGCUAUACGGUCCACACGUGCCCACAAAACCAUGGAUACUGUAGCCUCCAGGUUGAAGGAGGGCAGGGUGGAGCCUUCCAUCCAAGGGCAGCAAACUCAGAUGCCUUCGGGGGACUAAAGAGUAACAAGACUGAGCACAGACAGUCAGGUGGAGACAGGUGGGAAUGGUGAGGAAGACAGGGAAUGUCAGCUAGACUACACAUGCACUAUCUAAAGGCGCUUGGAUUCAUAAUUAUUCUAAAAACAAAACUCAAAGAGCUGGCCCAGGGGUCACUGGUUUCUGACCUCUGUGUCUAGCUCAGCCCACUGCCUUCUGACUGGUACAAUCUCAACAUCGACUUUUUCUCCCCUCAAGACAGUAACAUCACCUCCUUUAAUAAUCUACCCUGUGUCUAGGGACCAUGAACUCGGAACCAGUUUCUCUCUGAAGCCCUUUUCCAUCCGUCCCUCAUUUCCAAGCUCAUGUGGGGCCUCUUUAAGCCCCAUCACUUUUCAUCUGCUCCCCCAGCUGAUGUGGGGUCCCUGCAUGUUCGGAGGAAUCACUGCCAGUCACUGCAUUCUAACGCUACGUGUAAGGGACAUGUCUGCUCCCCGAAGCCCCAAAUACCCGUGUGGGCUGGCAGUGUUCUCGGUUGAAAUUUUCCCAGUUCUCAACCUCUUUUGGCUGCCUGUCAGACUCCCGGGUCACUUCCUCGCCCCGUCUCCAGCGUCAUCCAUUAACAAGAUGCCUGUUGGGAAAACUGGAGGAGAUGGUAGAUGGGGAGAAGGUUUUAGAAAGUAAGAAAUGUCACCAAAAUCCAGGGCCAAUUGUGAUUCAUGGUGCCCUGCAGGCUGCCUUCUCUGCCCUGGACUAGGGCGCGGGGCAGGGGAGUUGGGCUCUGUGUCCAGCCCCCAACCCUGGGCACGACUGUUUUGCUCUUGGCUUCGUUUAGACCACGAGGAACUUCAGGGGCGGGUGGUGUCCAGGGGGCUGAAGAGCCCUGAGGGGCUGAGCCCAUAAGCAUUCAAAGGCCAGGUCAUUCCAGAGCCCGAGGAACCGCACGCUCUCCAGAAAUGUCUGCCUGCAAGUGACAGCCCUGCCCGGGGCAACGCACUCGCGGGCCGGGCUUUCUGUCCGGUGGAGCCACGUCUCCCGCGACAUCGAGAUGUCAACUCUGAUGUCUCUCAGUUCUGUCACCUGUACUUUCUGCUAAUCUUUAUGUUUCUGGAGAAAGUAGAGCAAACGCUUUCCCAUCCCAGCUCCUCCCUCCCCUUGACCAGACAGCUCCUCUCCGUGUGACAUAAACCCUCAGCGGGGUUCUCCAGCUGGGACUGGGCGAGGGCGGCACGACUCGGUACUUUUAGCCUCAAGAAACCUUCUGAUAAGCAAGCAUCCUUGGGGCAUUUUCAUGCCCCUACACGCCACCCACCCCCACCACAGCCAGCGGGGCAGAGCUUUGCCUCCGUCACCACUGUGUACAGAGUAUCAGGACGGGGCAGGGGGUGUCUCUGCAACUCAGGCCACAGAGAGGGAAAGAGGGUGACCUUGUGCAGACCCUCCAUCACAGCCUGUUUUCCCCACUUAUAAAUCCACAUAUAGUUCGUGAUUUGGGUUCUUCCUUUCUGAAUGCCUGCGAUCUUACUCUUGAGGGUAAAAUGUAGAACAGCUCCCAGAAGAGGCUUCUCUGCCUUUAGCUUUUGCUCCAGACCAGGGCUUCAUCGAAGGACAGGGACCUGAGGGUAGUAGGGAGGGAGGGAGGGGGGCAGAAAAAGAAAAAGACAGACACAGUAGGGGGAGGGGUGCAGAAACAGUCAUCGGAUGAUGAGAUACGUCUUUUAAAAGAGACAGGUUUUGCUUUUUUUAAAAACACGACAGGCAAAGGUUGAAAAAUAAAGAAAUGAAAAAAGACACAGGGCGAGUGCCGAUCAAAAAGGAAGCAGGCAUUGCAGUUUCAGUAUCAGACCAGACGGACUUUAAGGCAGAAAGCCACCUACAGAAUAAAGGUCAUUUUAUCAUUAAUGAAAAGAGAAACAAUGCAAGGGAUGACAUAAUGAUCUUGCACUUGUACGCCUCCAGCAGCAGACGCCUCAAAAUGCCGGAGAUAAAUCAUCGGAAUAGCAAGGAACAGCAGACAAGACCACAGUCAUGGUGGGGAGUACGAUUCCCUGCUCUGACACUGAUAAAAUAGCUAAAAAGUUCACAAAAUGGGCAUCAUGGACAUAAUGCAGAACCUCAACGCAGCAACGGGAAAACUUAACGUCCUUUGCAAGCACACGUGUGCGUGUUUCCACAAAUUGAUGCCGUGUCACAGAGAAAGUCAGAACACCCCCAGAUCGAUACCAUUCAGAACCCCUGCUCUGACGUCAGUGAGAUGUAAUUGAAAAUCAGUAACAAAAGAUAUAGUGAAAAUAACUGGCUAGUGGCCAGUGAGACCUGCAGGCACUGUAAGACGAGGCACCAGCUCCCGGGGGAGGGACAUAAACCAAAUUGUCUAAGGAACCAGUGGACGGAGGGCACGGCCUUCCCCCAUCUCAGGCGCUUCAUAGAAUAGGUGGCACUUCGUCAGGAGCACGGGGAUGAUCGUCUUGGGGAAGCAGAGGUGUUAAGGGCAGAUGACGUCACUGAGAUGGGGCCACAUGGUGCUUUACGAAGCGAGACCGAAGGCCAAGGAGAAAGUGCGUUCUUUUGCAAGACCCUGACCACCUUGGUGAGUUCCGAUGCCCAGAAAUGACAGAGCCCAAGACCUGGCUCCCACGGAAUAAUUUGAGGGGAAGAGGUAGCCGGAUCCGCGUGAAGAACCCAGACACUGAACAGACACUCACUGACACCACGGCUACAAAGAAGACGAGGGGAGUGUUGAUACUGAUGGGAGGGAAGAGAGACUGAGGGAAGGAAGGGGUCUUAAAUGCAGAACAAACGGGCAGCAUUUGUCACUGAUGCUGUUGUGUGGGGGAUAAUUCAAGUCCAGGUAACGAGGAGACAAGUAAUCACAUAGGUACAUAGAGGGGGCUGAGAGGGGAGGAAGGAUGGGUCUGCAUGGAUUUGGGGAAAGAGAAGAGUUACCCAGCAUAUGCCUGGGACGUGCGGACCAAGCUAGCUGAGCCAGGUACAGUUCUCUGCUCCUUUAGCGUAGGGGUUGGCAAAGGACGGCCCGUGGACCAAAUCUGGCCCAACACCUGCUUCUGUAAAUGAAUGAAGUUUUACUGGAACACAGUCAUGCCUGUUAUCAUCAAAUUCUGACUCCAACUACUUUUUUUUUUUUUUUAACGACGUGUGCCCUGUUGGUAAUGCACCUGAGGUUCUCUUCUCUCACCUGUGGCAUCGAAGCCACGCCACAAGAGAAGAAAGAGGUGAAAACUAAAUACUCCAAAAAGGCACCAUCUUCAGUGCCCACUUGAGUUUCUCAGAUCAGGAGAGAGGACAGCUCUGCUUUCUUCAGUGGUGGCUUGCUUUUCAGGUUCUACAUGGUGACAAGAUGGCUUUCUGCUAACAGCUCUCGUCCUAUCUCCUUCCAAGUUCAAGUCCAACAGAAAUAGUCUUUUUCAGUAGCUCCCUUGGGGUCUAAUUAGACUGAAUGAUACCAUAUACGCCCCCUUGAGUCAAUUACUGGGACUAAAGGAUGGAACUAAAUCCAUUGUCCAGAGUAAGAUGAUAAUCUGCUUUCUGGAGCUUGGAAAGGAGCCUCAGCUGAGCUCCAUGGACUGAGAGUCGGGGAGGAGGGUUCCCCAGAGAGAACGCCUGGUCACUCUAAGGUGUGAGAGGGGGCCUUCAUACUCUUGGUUCUUCACGGUUGAUUCCGCUCGUCUUUGGAUGGAAUCACACAGAGAGAUGGUGCUUUGGCUGUUUUUGGUGACAGUGUCAUUGCUGUCAUGCAUAGAGGCUCCCAUCAAAUUCAGAGCCUCUCAGGACCCACUGGAGAUCAGAUUGAAGAAAAGUACUUGGUAAACUGCCCAGCACUUUGCAAACUCAGAGUGUGCAGAAGACCUCUUUUCCUGCAAUUCCUUAGGACCUGUGAAAUUAGCUGCUUCCUUUAACAUCUUUAGUCUAAAUGCUGAAGAAUUGGGGGAGUCAUUCUCCAGAGAGGUAGCCUAGCUCGGUGUUAUAAAGAUGGACUCUGAAACCGCCCUUCCUGAGUCCAAGUCUAGGCUCUGCCAUUGACAAGCUGAGUGGCCUCGAAUAAAUUACUCAACUUC
This is an RNA transcript of Camelus dromedarius (Arabian camel), 5906 nucleotides long. It is a transcript of the gene named solute carrier family 39 member 11, with no coding region annotated. The record is from RefSeq and is a predicted model, not a curated record. The transcript has 9 exons. Lineage: Eukaryota; Metazoa; Chordata; Mammalia; Artiodactyla; Camelidae.